This 426-nucleotide ribosomal RNA is filed under the name uncultured prokaryote. RNAcentral's name for it is "bacterial SSU rRNA". It matches the Rfam family "Bacterial small subunit ribosomal RNA", at positions 355 to 774 of the family's 1533-position model. The record is from RNAcentral.
UAGGGAAUCUUCGGCAAUGGGCGAAAGCCUGACCGAGCAACGCCGCGUGAAUGAUGAAGGCCUUCGGGUUGUAAAAUUCUGUUAUAAGGGAAGAAUGGCUCUAGUAGGAAAUGGCUAGAGUGUGACGGUACCUUAUGAGAAAGCCACGGCUAACUACGUGCCAGCAGCCGCGGUAAUACGUAGGUGGCGAGCGUUAUCCGGAAUUAUUGGGCGUAAAGAGCGCGCAGGUGGUUGAUUAAGUCUGAUGUAAAAGCCCACGGCUUAACCGUGGAGGGUCAUUGGAAACUGGUCAACUUGAGUGCAGAAGAGGGAAGUGAAAUUCCAUGGGUAGGGGUGAAAUGGGUAGAGAUAUGGAGGAAAACCAGUGGCGAAGGCGGCUUCCUGGUCUGUAACUGACACUGAGGCGCGAAAGCGUGGGAGCAAACA